RNAcentral lists this ribosomal RNA (403 nucleotides) under uncultured bacterium. Its description in RNAcentral is "bacterial SSU rRNA". It matches the Rfam family "Bacterial small subunit ribosomal RNA", at positions 355 to 774 of the family's 1533-position model. The record is from RNAcentral.
UGGGGAAUAUUGCACAAUGGGCGAAAGCCUGAUGCAGCGACGCCGCGUGAACGAAGAAGUAUUUCGGUAUGUAAAGUUCUAUCAGCAGGGAAGAAAAGUGACGGUACCUGACUAAGAAGCUCCGGCUAAAUACGUGCCAGCAGCCGCGGUAAUACGUAUGGAGCAAGCGUUAUCCGGAUUUACUGGGUGUAAAGGGUGCUCAGGCGGAUUUGUAAGUCAGAGGUGAAAUCUUACAGCUUAACUGUGAAACUGCCUUUGAUACUGCAAGCCUAGAGUAUGGAAGAGAGUGAUGGAAUAUCUGGUGUAGCAGUGAAAUGCGUAGAUAUCAGAUAGAACACCAAUGGCGAAGGCAGUCACUUGGUCCAUUACUGACGCUAAAGCACGAAAGCGUGGGUAGCAAACA